This is a long non-coding RNA of Labeo rohita (rohu), 602 nucleotides long. RefSeq lists it as uncharacterized. The transcript is spliced from 5 exons. The record is from RefSeq and is a predicted model, not a curated record. NCBI's taxonomy places the organism in Eukaryota, Metazoa, Chordata, Actinopteri, Cypriniformes, Cyprinidae.
AAUGUCAGAACUGUUUGAAACAUGGCGGGAGUCACCGUGUCAUAUGUUCUUAAAUUUGGUUUUUAAUAAUGUGUCAGAAUCAGGAACUUCAUGAAGAUAGGCAAAGAAUGUGGGGAAACAUAUCGGAACGACUGCAUCAAAUUUUAUUAGACAUCUAACAACACAUCCGAGGUAUUUCUCUGCAUGUCUAUCUGGUGCUUUCAACGUCUAUCUGGUGUCACCUCAGUGCCGUCUAGUGGCUGCUGGUCAAAAUGUCUCAGAUGUUUUCAAGUGCUGUUUUUAUUCGGGAUGGAAAGUCUCAAGAUGACAAGAAGUAUAAGAGAAGUCUCACCAGGCAGAGGUCUCUCAUUUUCGGACCUGAUAAUCCCACCCACUUUGAAGCGGUACUAAACUGCAAUGGAAAAGCAAACCGAGCCAAAGUAAAGUGAGCCAAGCUGUGCUGAGCCGAGUCGUACCACUCAAGGAAAAGCACAGCAGACGUCUGCAGUAAUACUGUUCUCCAAUGGAGCCUGGACCCCAAGGACACGCUGGAGAGCAAGGUGCGCCUAUAGGGAGGGAUUUUGGGUAAUCCACCGUCACUUUCCAGCUUCCUCCCACUGUCA